Molecule: ribosomal RNA, 515 nt
Filed under: uncultured bacterium
Lineage: Bacteria
Description: bacterial SSU rRNA
Rfam family: Bacterial small subunit ribosomal RNA
Source: RNAcentral
CGAUUCUGGCUCAGAACGAACGCUGGCGGCGCGUCUUAAGCAUGCAAGUCGAACGGCAAGAGGUAGCAAUACCUCCUAGAGUGGCGGACUGGUGAGUAACACGUGGGUGACAUACCCUUCAGAUGGGGAUAGCUAUUAGAAAUAGUAGAUAAUACCGAAUACGAGCACAGGGGUUAGAGAUCUGUGAGGAAAGGAGCUAAGGCUCCGCUGAAGGAAUGGCCUGCGGCCCAUUAGCUAGUUGGUGAGGUAAGAGCCCACCAAGGCGAUGAUGGGUAUCCGGCCUUAGAGGGUGAACGGACACAUUGGGACUGAGAUACGGCCCAGACUCCUACGGGAGGCAGCAGCUAAGAAUAUUCCGCAAUGGACGAAAGUCUGACGGAGCGACGCCGCGUGGAUGAAGAAGGCCGGAAGGUUGUAAAAUCCUUUUGAAACUGAAGAAUAAGCGUUGUAGGGAAUGACAGCGUGGUGACAGUAGGUUUUGAAUAAGCAACGGCUAAUUACGUGCCAGCAGCCGC